CCUACGGGCGACAGCAGUGGGGAAUAUUGCACAAUGGGGGAAACCCUGAUGCAGCGACGCCGCGUGAGUGAAGAAGUAUUUCGGUAUGUAAAGCUCUAUCAGCAGGGAAGAAAAUGACGGUACCUGACUAAGAAGCCCCGGCUAACUACGUGCCAGCAGCCGCGGUAAUACGUAGGGGGCAAGCGUUAUCCGGAUUUACUGGGUGUAAAGGGAGCGUAGACGGCAGCGCAAGUCUGGAGUGAAAUGCCGGGGCUUAACCCCGGAACUGCUUUGGAAACUGUGCAGCUAGAGUGCAGGAGAGGUAAGUGGAAUUCCUGGUGUAGCGGUGAAAUGCGUAGAUAUUAGGAGGAACACCAGUGGCGAAGGCGGCUUACUGGACUGUAACUGACGUUGAGGCUCGAAAGCGUGGGGAGCAAACAGGAUUAGAUACCCUAGUAGUC
This 440-nucleotide ribosomal RNA is filed under the name uncultured bacterium. RNAcentral describes it as "partial 16S ribosomal RNA". It matches the Rfam family "Bacterial small subunit ribosomal RNA", at positions 338 to 795 of the family's 1533-position model. The record is from RNAcentral.